RNAcentral lists this ribosomal RNA (254 nucleotides) under uncultured bacterium. RNAcentral's name for it is "partial 16S ribosomal RNA". It matches the Rfam family "Bacterial small subunit ribosomal RNA", at positions 524 to 776 of the family's 1533-position model. The record is from RNAcentral.
UACGUAGGGUGCGAGCGUUAAUCGGAAUUACUGGGCGUAAAGCGUGCGCAGGCGGUUAUUUAAGUCAGGUGUGAAAGCCCUGGGCUUAACCUAGGAAUUGCGCUUGAGACUGGAUAGCUUGGAGUGCGGCAGAGGGAGGUGGAAUUCCACGUGUAGCAGUGAAAUGCGUAGAGAUGUGGAGGAACACCGAUGGCGAAGGCAGCCUCCUGGGCCAGCACUGACACUGAGGCACGAAAGCGUGGGGAGCAAACAGG